UCCCGGCGCCACGAGUGGCAAUCACGUUUAUUGGGCCUAAAGCGUUCGUAGCUGGCUUGAACCGUUCUUUGUGAAAUCGUCUGACUCAAUCAGACGGCGUGCAGAGAAUACCUUCGAGCUUGGGACUGGGAGAGGUAAGAGGUAUUUCUGGGUUAGCGGUAAAAUGUGUUGACCCCAGAAGGACCACCAAUAGCGGAGGCAUCUUACUAGAACAGGUCCGACAGUGAGGGACGAAGGCUAGGGGAGCAAAAGG
This 253-nucleotide ribosomal RNA is filed under the name uncultured archaeon. RNAcentral describes it as "partial 16S ribosomal RNA". It matches the Rfam family "Archaeal small subunit ribosomal RNA", at positions 474 to 726 of the family's 1478-position model. The record is from RNAcentral.